This 26-nucleotide non-coding RNA is filed under the name Mus musculus (house mouse). The record is from RNAcentral. Lineage: Eukaryota; Metazoa; Chordata; Mammalia; Rodentia; Muridae.
UUAAAAAAUUAAAAAUAGCAUGGUCA